UGGGGAAUAUUGCACAAUGGAGGGAACUCUGAUGCAGCGACGCCGCGUGAACGAAGAAGGCUUUCGAGUCGUAAAGUUCUUUUAUAUGGGAAGAUAAUGACGGUACCAUAAGAAAAAGCCCCGGCUAACUACGUGCCAGCAGCCGCGGUAAUACGUAGGGUGCGAGCGUUGUCCGGAAUUACUGGGCGUAAAGGGCUCGUAGGUGGUUUGUCGCGUCGUCUGUGAAAUUCCGGGGCUUAACUCCGGGCGUGCAGGCGAUACGGGCAUAACUUGAGUACUGUAGGGGUAACUGGAAUUCCUGGUGUAGCGGUGAAAUGCGCAGAUAUCAGGAGGAACACCGAUGGCGAAGGCAGGUUACUGGGCAGUUACUGACGCUGAGGAGCGAAAGCAUGGGUAGCGAACAGG
RNAcentral lists this ribosomal RNA (405 nucleotides) under Verrucomicrobiota bacterium. Its description in RNAcentral is "Verrucomicrobia bacterium partial 16S ribosomal RNA". It matches the Rfam family "Bacterial small subunit ribosomal RNA", at positions 355 to 776 of the family's 1533-position model. The record is from RNAcentral. Lineage: Bacteria; Pseudomonadati; Verrucomicrobiota.